GCGGGCGUGGCGGAACGGCAGACGCGCCGGGUUUAGGUCCCGGUGGGCGAGAGCCCUUGGGGGUUCGACUCCCCCCGCCCGCA
This 83-nucleotide transfer RNA is filed under the name Actinomycetota bacterium. RNAcentral describes it as "tRNA-Leu". It matches the Rfam family "tRNA". From Rfam's summary of the family: Transfer RNA (tRNA) molecules are approximately 80 nucleotides in length. Their secondary structure includes four short double-helical elements and three loops (D, anti-codon, and T loops). The record is from RNAcentral. Lineage: Bacteria; Bacillati; Actinomycetota.